CGGACGGGUGAGUAAUGUCUGGGAAACUGCCUGAUGGAGGGGGGUAACUACUGGAAACGGUAGCUAAUACCGCAUAACGUCGCAAGACCAAAGAGGGGGACCUUCGGGCCUCUUGCCAUCGGAUGUGCCCAGAUGGGAUUAGCUAGUAGGUGGGGUAACGGCUCACCUAGGCGACGAUCCCUGCUGGUCUGAGAGGAUGACCAGCCACACUGGAACUGAGACACGGUCCAG
RNAcentral lists this ribosomal RNA (231 nucleotides) under uncultured bacterium. RNAcentral's name for it is "partial 16S ribosomal RNA". It matches the Rfam family "Bacterial small subunit ribosomal RNA", at positions 99 to 334 of the family's 1533-position model. The record is from RNAcentral.